GGCUUUUUAACUAUAAAAUAUUAAGUAUAUAUUUUGAAAAUAUAAAAAAGAAAAAACUUCUAAAAGUCU
Molecule: transfer RNA, 69 nt
Filed under: Hyalomma scupense
Lineage: Eukaryota; Metazoa; Arthropoda; Arachnida; Ixodida; Ixodidae
Description: tRNA-Ser
Source: RNAcentral